This 1632-nucleotide long non-coding RNA is filed under the name Anas platyrhynchos platyrhynchos (common mallard). Its description in RNAcentral is "lncRNA (ENSAPLG00000026329.1)". Lineage: Eukaryota; Metazoa; Chordata; Aves; Anseriformes; Anatidae. The record is from RNAcentral.
GCCAUGGCCGCGUCCCCCUGCUGGGACCCCCUGGAGACGACGGCGUCGCUGGAGCAGCCGCUCAACGCCCUGCUCUUCAACCGCCGCCUGGCUGCCAGCCUCUGCCAGCUCAUCCAGAGGUGGGGCUGGGGGCUACACGGGGCUGCACGCCGGCACCGGGGGCACCAGCGGCACCCCUGGCACUGACCCAGGCUCGUUGCAGGCACCGGGCGGUGAUCGGGGACAAGGUGGACGUGGAGCACAUCCUGCAGGCUCGCACCAUCCGGGAGUUCGACGAGCGCUACACGGCGCCUGCCUUCGGCUACAGCAGCUGCCGCGAGUACUACCAGGCUGCCAGCCCCGCGCGCCAGCUGCACCGCGUCCGCGUGCCCCUGCUCUGCCUCAACGCCUCCGACGACCCCUUCUGCCCCCUGCACGCCAUCCCGGUGGAGGCCGCCUGGCGCCUGCCCCACGUGGCGCUGCUGGUCACGGCCCACGGCGGCCACAUCGGCUUCCUGGAGGGCCUCUUCCCCCGCCACGGCACCUUCAUGGACCGCGUCUUCACCCAGUUCAUCACCGCCGUCUUCGAGCACGGCGAGGAGCUCCAGCAGCUGGAGGGGGAUGGGGAAGGGGCUGCGGAGCAGGACGGUGCCGGACACCCCCAAUAAACGCGCUCACCCUGCAGGAGCGUGGCCGUGAGCCAGGCAGGGCCAACAAAGCACGAGCACGGCGUGGGCUGAGCUGCUGUGCCCCCCACCACCCCCCAGCACAGACGGGGCCGGCGCUGCCUUCACACUCCGGGUUUAAUGGCAGUGGGCAGGGCGCUGGACCCAGCCCAGCCAGCGGCACGCUGCGCCCCGGGGCCGGCCCCACACCGCACUGCAGCCCAGCACGCUCCCCACAGCCCAGCACCAGCAGGAUGGUGGCCACGAUCAGCCCGGCACAGAGCAGCAGCAGCAGCCAGACAGGGAGGGAGCCUGCAGGGGAGAGCAGGGCCUGAGGGGGGUGCCCGGGGGUCCCGCUGCCUCCUGCGCCUGCAGGACGGGCUGUGUGGCCCCGCUGCGCACGGCGGGGCAGGAGCUGAGCCACCUACGUCUGCCGGGGAGCAGGUGCAGCUUGCAGCGGCUGUCCACAGCCACGCUGAGCAGGGCGGCCUCGUUCCCUGCCAGCAGCUCCCGCCCGCGCUGGCUCUCGGGCACGAAGGCGACGUCGGUGACGACGAUGCCGUGCGCCUCCUUCACGUAGUACAGCCUCUGCAGGGGCAGCAGGGAGGGGGCACGCUCACCCCAGCCCUAAGGGGCAGGGCGGCCCCUGCGCCCCCUCCCCGCGCCCCCUCCCCGCGCCCCUGCUCACCUGCAGCGAGAAGGCGAUGUGGAUGGCCACGGAGCCCGUGACGGUGCCCAGCCCCAGGAACGUGCCCGAGUCACUGCGGAGGUGGGUGAUGGUGAGAGGGGCCGGCGCGGCACCGUGCCCGCACCCAGCCCCACACCGUACCUGACGGAGAGGCAGGACACCACCUCGCUGCCGCAGGGCCGCGUGAGCAGGGGCAGGAAGCUCCUCCCGUCCCACUUGGUCAGGUAGCAGGGCGGCGGGCGGCGCUCCCGCUUGUGGGGCACCUGCACCGUGUAGAGCCGCAGCGCCCCGGCGUUGUCC